Molecule: ribosomal RNA, 197 nt
Filed under: Aeromonas salmonicida subsp. salmonicida 01-B526
Lineage: Bacteria; Pseudomonadati; Pseudomonadota; Gammaproteobacteria; Aeromonadales; Aeromonadaceae
Description: partial 16S ribosomal RNA
Rfam family: Bacterial small subunit ribosomal RNA
Source: RNAcentral
ACCUGGCGACGAGUGGCGAACGGGUGAGUAAUAUAUCGGAACGUGCCCAAUAGUGGGGGAUAGCCCGGCGAAAGCCGGAUUAAUACCGCAUGAGACCUGAGGGUGAAAGCGGGGGAUCGCAAGACCUCGCGCUAUUGGAGCGGCCGAUGUCAGAUUAGGUAGUUGGUGGGGUAAAAGCCCACCAAGCCGACGACCUG